Molecule: long non-coding RNA, 489 nt
Organism: Melopsittacus undulatus (budgerigar)
Lineage: Eukaryota; Metazoa; Chordata; Aves; Psittaciformes; Psittaculidae
Exons: 2
Source: RefSeq, a predicted model, not a curated record
CUCGGGAUCGGCGGGGCCGGGGCAGGCCGGGGCUCACAUGUUGUUGAAGCAGAAGAGAUCAUCGCACGUGAAGGCCCGAAGCGUGGUCAUGGCGAUGCCGGUGAUGGUGCUCGGUGCUGCCGCUCGGUAGUGCCAGCGCUGGUAAUCCACCUACGGCCACAGCUCCGGCAGUCGUCAUCCCCGCCCCGGAAGCACUCCCGGGGCACAAAGGCCGCUUCCGGGACGGAGAGGCGGAAGUGGAGCGAUAUAAGCCCACCGGGAGAGACCCCGCUGGGGGUUUCUGGAAAUGCCAAGGAAGACCUCUACAGGAAUACACACCCACUGGAUGCCUGCAAGAAGCAAUGUCUGUGGUACCCAGAGGGAUGGCAACUGAAAGGACCUGAGAGAACACGGGAGGGACACAGCUAUGGUGCUAAGUUACUAGGGGCACACCUCAGAGUUCUGAACAGUACAUAAUAAUAUAUUUCACUUAAGCCAAAUGAACAAGGA